Non-coding RNA from Hypoxylon fuscum, 69 nucleotides. Lineage: Eukaryota; Fungi; Ascomycota; Sordariomycetes; Xylariales; Hypoxylaceae. The record is from the annotation of a GenBank genome assembly.
UAUCGGUUAGUUUAGUGGUAGAAUGUGAGGUUGCUAGCCUGAGGCAGGGGUCCGAUUCCCCAUUGAGAA